RNAcentral lists this ribosomal RNA (495 nucleotides) under uncultured bacterium. Its description in RNAcentral is "partial 16S ribosomal RNA". It matches the Rfam family "Bacterial small subunit ribosomal RNA", at positions 28 to 507 of the family's 1533-position model. The record is from RNAcentral.
GACGAACGCUGGCGGCGUGCCUAAUACAUGCAAGUAGAACGCUGAAGGAGGAGCUUGCUUCUCUGGAUGAGUUGCGAACGGGUGAGUAACGCGUAGGUAACCUGCCUGGUAGUGGGGGAUAACUAUUGGAAACGAUAGCUAAUACCGCAUAAUAGCAGUUGUUGCAUGAUAACUGUUUGAAAGGUGCAAUUGCACCGCUACCAGAUGGACCUGCGUUGUAUUAGCUAGUUGGUGGGGUAACGGCUCACCAAGGCGACGAUACAUAGCCGACCUGAGAGGGUGAUCGGCCACACUGGGACUGAGACACGGCCCAGACUCCUACGGGAGGCAGCAGUAGGGAAUCUUCGGCAAUAGACGGAAGUCUGACCGAGCAACGCCGCGUGAGUGAAGAAGGUUUUCGGAUCGUAAAGCUCUGUUGUAAGAGAAGAACGAGUGUGAGAGUGGAAAGUUCACACUGUGACGGUAUCUUACCAGAAAGGGACGGCUAACUACGUG